UGGUUUUGUCCUCUUUGUACC
Caenorhabditis elegans is the source of this 21-nucleotide non-coding RNA. The record is from Ensembl. Lineage: Eukaryota; Metazoa; Nematoda; Chromadorea; Rhabditida; Rhabditidae.